This 25-nucleotide non-coding RNA is filed under the name Rattus norvegicus (Norway rat). Lineage: Eukaryota; Metazoa; Chordata; Mammalia; Rodentia; Muridae. The record is from RNAcentral.
UGGAAAUGGUAUCACAUCUAAGGUU